GCAAGCUGAGAGGUAACAGCUGUAUUUCCCAAUGAUGGACAUUUUCAGGAAGUUUCAGAGGUCUUUGGAAGUUGUUAUAUCCAGUGCAUUGGAGUCUCUACCUCUCCAGGAUUCCACACGGCACAAACUCUGGUUGGAAGACUCACUACUGAGAGGCCUCCUGCUAGCUCUGACUCCAGUAAACCUGACCUCCAAUAAUUCCUGCCGUCGCGGAGGUUUGAUGCUUAUUCUACGUUGGUUUAUUUAGAAUUCGGAUUUAUCCUCAAAUAGAAUUUUCUGACCCAUGGAAGAAUAGCGUGAAAGCAGGAGAAGCCCUGGAGGGAAAAGACCUACAGCUAUUGUCAGUCACCACGUGGUGUCUCGAAAGGCCUUUGAUCAAAUCUGUCGUCUCAUUAUUGUUUAUAAUCUGGGACGCACUAGUUUUCUGGGAUGACGGCUCCGCAAAGAGCAAUGGCCUCUAGGGCGUAGACAUGCUGAUGUUCAUUCCUUCCAAUCACUCUUUCACUUCUGGCCAUGUUUGCUCUGCUGGAAAUCUGGGGAGUAAAUCAUAGAAAUAAUGCGUCACAAUGAUUUGAAACUUGCCGUGCAUUGGUGGCUUAUGAAUAUCAACAGGGAUCACAUCACCUCUUCUUUCUUGGGCCAUUGAUAUUCUAUAUUUUCACAUUUUAAUUAGCGUUCAGGUUAAGCCUUGCUAAGAUGGAGGUUCUUAUUUGGCGGGAACUCUCAUGGAACCCUAGGGAGGAUGAAUUUACUCUCAGCACUUCCCUUCCUGGCUCAGAGCUCAAACUGCAUGUCAGGG
Molecule: long non-coding RNA, 799 nt
Filed under: Fukomys damarensis (Damara mole-rat)
Lineage: Eukaryota; Metazoa; Chordata; Mammalia; Rodentia; Bathyergidae
Description: lncRNA (ENSFDAG00000021825.1)
Source: RNAcentral